UACGUAGGGGGCGAGCGUUGUCCGGAUUCAUUGGGCGUAAAGAGCUCGUAGGCGGUUUGGUAAGUCGGAUGUGAAAGCCCCAGGCUUAACCUGGAGAUGCCACUCGAUACUGCCAUGGCUAGAGUCCGGUAGGGGACCACGGAAUUCCUGGUGUAGCGGUGAAAUGCGCAGAUAUCAGGAGGAACACCAGUAGCGAAGGCGGUGGUCUGGGCCGGUACUGACGCUGAGGAGCGAAAGCGUGGGGAGCGAACAGG
This 254-nucleotide ribosomal RNA is filed under the name uncultured bacterium. RNAcentral describes it as "partial 16S ribosomal RNA". It matches the Rfam family "Bacterial small subunit ribosomal RNA", at positions 524 to 776 of the family's 1533-position model. The record is from RNAcentral.